GUAUGGGGAUCUGCCCGAUAGAGGGGAAUAACUACUGGAAACAGUGGCUAAUACCGCAUAAUGUCUACGGACCAAAGCAGGGGCUCUUCGGACCUUGCACUAUCGGAUGAACCCAUAUGGGAUUAGCUAGUAGGUGGGGUAAAGGCUCACCUAGGCGACGAUCUCUAGCUGGUCUGAGAGGAUGAUCAGCCACACUGGGACUGAGACACGGCCCAG
RNAcentral lists this ribosomal RNA (216 nucleotides) under uncultured bacterium. Its description in RNAcentral is "partial 16S ribosomal RNA". It matches the Rfam family "Bacterial small subunit ribosomal RNA", at positions 115 to 334 of the family's 1533-position model. The record is from RNAcentral.